Molecule: ribosomal RNA, 311 nt
Filed under: uncultured Bradyrhizobiaceae bacterium
Lineage: Bacteria; Pseudomonadati; Pseudomonadota; Alphaproteobacteria; Hyphomicrobiales; Nitrobacteraceae
Description: bacterial SSU rRNA
Rfam family: Bacterial small subunit ribosomal RNA
Source: RNAcentral
UGGCUCAGAACGAACGCUGGCGGCAGGCUUAACACAUGCAAGUCGAGCGGGCGUAGCAAUACGUCAGCGGCAGACGGGUGAGUAACGCGUGGGAACGUACCUUUUGGUUCGGAACAACCCAGGGAAACUUGGGCUAAUACCGGAUAAGCCCUCACGGGGAAAGAUUUAUCGCCGAAAGAUCGGCCCGCGUCUGAUUAGCUAGUUGGUGAGGUAAUGGCUCACCAGGGAGACGAUCAGUAGCUGGUCUGAGAGGAUGAUCAGCCACAUUGGGACUGAGACACGGGAAAAACUCCUACGGGAGUCCCCAGUGG